CAGAUGCAGCGACGCCGCGUGGAGGAAGAAGGUCUUCGGAUUGUAAACUCCUGUUGUUGAGGAAAAAGAGGAUGGUACUCAACAAGGAAGUGACGGCUAACUACGUG
This 107-nucleotide ribosomal RNA is filed under the name uncultured Faecalibacterium sp. RNAcentral's name for it is "partial 16S ribosomal RNA". It matches the Rfam family "Bacterial small subunit ribosomal RNA", at positions 383 to 507 of the family's 1533-position model. The record is from RNAcentral. Lineage: Bacteria; Bacillati; Bacillota; Clostridia; Eubacteriales; Oscillospiraceae.